This 490-nucleotide ribosomal RNA is filed under the name uncultured bacterium. RNAcentral describes it as "partial 16S ribosomal RNA". It matches the Rfam family "Bacterial small subunit ribosomal RNA", at positions 29 to 507 of the family's 1533-position model. The record is from RNAcentral.
AUUGAACGCUGGCGGCAGGCCUAACACAUGCAAGUCGAACGGUAACAGGGAUCAGCUUGCUGAUUCGCUGACGAGUGGCGGACGGGUGAGUAAUGUCUGGGAAACUGCCUGAUGGAGGGGGAUAACUACUGGAAACGGUAGCUAAUACCGCAUAACGUCGCAAGACCAAAGAGGGGGACCUUCGGGCCUCUUGCCAUCGGAUGUGCCCAGAUGGGAUUAGCUAGUAGGUGGGGUAACGGCUCACCUAGGCGACGAUCCCUAGCUGGUCUGAGAGGAUGACCAGCCACACUGGGACUGAGGCAAGGUUCAGAAUCCUAAGGGAGGGCGGCGUGGGGAAAAAUGGAACAAGGGCGGAAAGCCUGUGGAGGCCAGGCGGGUGGAAGGAAGAGGGCUUCGGGGUGGUAAAUUAUUUCAGCCGGGAAGAAGGGAGGAAAGUUAAUACCUUUGCUCAUUGACGUUACCCGCAGAAGAAGCACCGGCUAACUCCGUG